This 430-nucleotide ribosomal RNA is filed under the name uncultured bacterium. RNAcentral describes it as "bacterial SSU rRNA". It matches the Rfam family "Bacterial small subunit ribosomal RNA", at positions 30 to 507 of the family's 1533-position model. The record is from RNAcentral.
CGAACGCUGGCGGCAUGCCUAACACAUGCAAGUCGAACGAGACCUUCGGGUCUAGUGGCGCACGGGUGCGUAACGCGUGGGAAUCUGCCUUAGGUUCGGAAUAACUUCGGGAAACUGAAGCUAAUACCGGAUGAUGACGUAAGUCCAAAGAUUUAUCGCCUAAGGAUGAGCCCGCGUUGGAUUAGCUAGUUGGUGAGGUAAAGGCUCACCAAGGCGACGAUCCAUAGCUGGUCUGAGAGGAUGAUCAGCCACACUGGGACUGAGACACGGCCCAGACUCCUACGGGAGGCAGCAGUGGGGAAUAUUGGACAAUGGGCGAAAGCCUGAUCCAGCAAUGCCGCGUGAGUGAUGAAGGCCUUAGGGUUGUAAAGCUCUUUUACCCGGGAUGAUAAUGACAGUAUCGGGAGAAUAAGCUCCGGCUAACUCCGUG